This 24-nucleotide non-coding RNA is filed under the name Cricetulus griseus (Chinese hamster). The record is from RNAcentral. Lineage: Eukaryota; Metazoa; Chordata; Mammalia; Rodentia; Cricetidae.
AGGUAGCUACUUUUUGCAUAGACC